RNAcentral lists this small RNA (112 nucleotides) under Virgibacillus sp. SK37. RNAcentral describes it as "BsrF". It matches the Rfam family "BsrF". Lineage: Bacteria; Bacillati; Bacillota; Bacilli; Caryophanales; Bacillaceae. The record is from Rfam by way of RNAcentral.
GCGAUGAGCUGAUUUGCAUAAGACGAGGAACAAAGAAAUACAUGUGAAUGUGAACACAUGGUCCCUCGCCGCAAAUUUUCGAAAAGGCACCUGUGCAUUUUAUGCAUAGGUG